This 322-nucleotide ribosomal RNA is filed under the name uncultured bacterium. Its description in RNAcentral is "bacterial SSU rRNA". It matches the Rfam family "Bacterial small subunit ribosomal RNA", at positions 46 to 351 of the family's 1533-position model. The record is from RNAcentral.
AGCCUAACACACUGCAAGUCGAACGGCAGCACAGGAGAGCUUGCUCUCUGGGUGGCGAGUGGCGGACGUGGUGAGGAAUACAUCGGAAUCUACUUUUCGUGGGGGAUAACGUAGGGAAACUUACGCUAAUACCNGCAUACGACACUACGGGUGAAAAGCAGGGUGAUCUUCGGACCUUGCGCGAUUGAAUGAAGCCGAUGUCGAGAUUAGCUAGUUUGGCGGGGUAAAGGCCCACCAAAAGGCGACAGAUCCGUAGCUGGUCUGAGAGGAUAGAUCAGCCACACUGGAACUGAGACACGGUCCAGACUCCUACGGGAGGCAG